UGAACGCUGGCGGCGUGCCUAAUACAUGCAAGUCGAACGAGUUCUGAUUAUUGAAAGGUGCUUGCAUCUUGAUUUAAUUUUGAACGAGUGGCGGACGGGUGAGUAGCACGUGGGUAACCUGCCCUUAAGUGGGGGAUAACAUUUGGAAACAGAUGCUAAUACCGCAUAAAUCCAAAAACCGCAUGGUUCUUGGCUGAAAGAUGGCGUAAGCUAUCGCUUUUGGAUGGACCCGCGGCGUAUUAGCUAGUUGGUGAGGUAACGGCUCACCAAGGCAAUGAUACGUAGCCGAACUGAGAGGUUGAUCGGCCACAUUGGGACUGAGACACGGCCCAAACUCCUACGGGAGGCAGCAGUAGGGAAUCUUCCACAAUGGACGCAAGUCUGAUGGAGCAACGCCGCGUGAGUGAAGAAGGCUUUCGGGUCGUAAAACUCUGUUGUUGGAGAAGAAUGGUCGGCAGAGUAACUGUUGUCGGCGUGACGGUAUCCAACCAGAAAGCCACGGCUAACUACGUGCCAGCAGCCGCGGUAAUACGUAGGUGGCAAGCGUUAUCCGGAUUUAUUGGGCGUAAAGCGAGCGCAGGCGGUUUUUUAAGUCUGAUGUGAAAGCCCUCGGCUUAACCGAGGAAGUGCAUCGGAAACUGGGAAACUUGAGUGCAGAAGAGGACAGUGGAACUCCAUGUGUAGCGGUGAAAUGCGUAGAUAUAUGGAAGAACACCAGUGGCGAAGGCGGCUGUCUGGUCUGUAACUGACGCUGAGGCUCGAAAGCAUGGGUAGCGAACAGGAUUAGAUACCCUGGUAGUCCAUGCCGUAAACGAUGAAUGCUAGGUGUUGGAGGGUUUCCGCCCUUCAGUGCCGCAGCUAACGCAUUAAGCAUUCCGCCUGGGGAGUACGACCGCAAGGUUGAAACUCAAAGGAAUUGACGGGGGCCCGCACAAGCGGUGGAGCAUGUGGUUUAAUUCGAAGCAACGCGAAGAACCUUACCAGGUCUUGACAUCUUUUGAUCACCUGAGAGAUCAGGUUUCCCCUUCGGGGGCAAAAUGACAGAUGGUGCAUGGUUGUCGUCAGCUCGUGUCGUGAGAUGUUGGGUUAAGUCCCGCAACGAGCGCAACCCUUAUGACUAGUUGCCAGCAUUUAGUUGGGCACUCUAGUAAGACUGCCGGUGACAAACCGGAGGAAGGUGGGGAUGACGUCAAAUCAUCAUGCCCCUUAUGACCUGGGCUACACACGUGCUACAAUGGAUGGUACAACGAGUUGCGAGACCGCGAGGUCAAGCUAAUCUCUUAAAGCCAUUCUCAGUUCGGACUGUAGGCUGCAACUCGCCUACACGAAGUCGGAAUCGCUAGUAAUCGCGGAUCAGCACGCCGCGGUGAAUACGUUCCCGGGCCUUGUACACACCGCCCGUCACACCACGAGAGUUUGUAACACCCGAAGCCGGUGGCGUAACCCUUUUAGGGAGCGAGCCGUCUAAGGUGGGACAAAUGAUUAGGGUGAAGUC
This 1495-nucleotide ribosomal RNA is filed under the name uncultured organism. Its description in RNAcentral is "SSU rRNA". It matches the Rfam family "Bacterial small subunit ribosomal RNA". The record is from RNAcentral.